AACGAACGCUGGCGGCGUGGAUAAGACAUGCAAGUCGAACGGAACUUUCAGCUGUAGCAAUACAGUUGAAAGUUUAGUGGCGAACGGGUGCGUAACACGUGGGCAAUCUGCCGAGAAGUGGGGGAUAGCUCGCCGAAAGGCGAAUUAAUACCGCAUGUGAUCAGGAAAGACAUCUUUCCAACAUUAAAGCCGGGGUUAAACCUGGCGCUUCUUGAUGAGCCCGCGGCCUANCAGCUAGUUGGUGAGGUAACGGCUCACCAAGGCUUUGACGGGUAGCUGGUCUGAGAGGACGACCAGUCACACUGGAACUGAGACACGGUCCAGACACC
Molecule: ribosomal RNA, 329 nt
Filed under: uncultured bacterium
Lineage: Bacteria
Description: bacterial SSU rRNA
Rfam family: Bacterial small subunit ribosomal RNA
Source: RNAcentral